UGCAGUCGAACGAGAAAGUUUCCUUCGGGAAGCGAGUACAGUGGCGAACGGGUGAGUAACACGUGGGUUACCUGCCCUCGAGUGGGGAAUAACCUUGGGAAACCGGGGCUAAUACCGCAUACGGUCUACGGACUAAAGCUUUAUGCGCUCGAGGAGGGGCCCGCGGUCGAUUAGCUAGUUGGUGAGGUAAUGGCUCACCAAGGCAUCGAUCGAUAGCCGGCCUGAGAGGGCACACGGCCACACUGGCACUGAGACACGGGCCAGACUCCUACGGGAGGCAGCAGUGGGGAAUCUUGGACAAUGGGGGAAACCCUGAUCCAGCGACGCCGCGUGAUCGAUGAAGGCCUUCGGGUCGUAAAGAUCUUUCAGCGGGGACUAUAAUGAAGGUACCCGCAGAAGCAGGAGCGGCUAACUAUGUGCCAGCAGCCGCGGUAAUACAUAGGCUCCAAGCGUUGUUCGGAAUUACUGGGCGUAAAGCGAGUGUAGGCGGUGCGACAAGUCGAUUGUGAAAUCUCCCGGCUCAACCGGGAGGGUGCGGUCGAAACUGUCGGACUGGAGUCCGAGAGGGGAGAGUGGAAUUCCUGGUGUAGCGGUGAAAUGCGUAGAUAUCAGGAGGAACAUCGGUGGUGAAGACGGCUCUCUGGAUCGUGACUGACGCUGAGACUCGAAAGCGUGGGGAGCAAACAGGAUUAGAUACCCUGGUAGUCCACGCCCUAAACGAUGCGUACUUGGUGUCGGCUCUUCACUGGGUCUGUGCCGGAGUUAACACGUUAAGUACGCUGCAGUCGAAUGCAGUCGAAUGCAGUCGAAUGCAGUCGAAUUGAC
RNAcentral lists this ribosomal RNA (825 nucleotides) under uncultured Pseudomonadota bacterium. RNAcentral describes it as "bacterial SSU rRNA". It matches the Rfam family "Bacterial small subunit ribosomal RNA", at positions 56 to 873 of the family's 1533-position model. Lineage: Bacteria; Pseudomonadati; Pseudomonadota. The record is from RNAcentral.